GUCCACGCUGUAAACGAUGGGCACUAGGUGCCGGGGGGAGCGACCCCUUCGGUGCCGCAGCUAACGCGUUAAGUGCCCCGCCUGGGGAGUACGGCCGCAAGGCUGAAACUCAAAGGAAUUGACGGGGGCCCGCACAAGCGGUGGAGCAUGUGGUUUAAUUCGAAGCAACGCGAAGAACCUUACCUGGGCUUGACAUACACCGGAAAGCUCCAUGAAAGUGGGGCCCUUCUUCGGAACCGGUGCACAGGUGCUGCAUGGCUGUCGU
RNAcentral lists this ribosomal RNA (265 nucleotides) under uncultured bacterium. Its description in RNAcentral is "partial 16S ribosomal RNA". It matches the Rfam family "Bacterial small subunit ribosomal RNA", at positions 793 to 1055 of the family's 1533-position model. The record is from RNAcentral.